CAAAAACAUCGCCUUUAGCCACAACAAGUAUUAAAGGUCCCGCCUGCCCAGUGAAACUUCUUUUCAACGGCCGCGGUAUCCUAACCGUGCAAAGGUAGCACAAUCACUUGUCCCCUAAAUAGGGACCCGUAUGAACGGCUAACUGAGGGCACAACUGUCUCCUAGGCCCAAUCAAUGAAAUUGACCCCCCAGUACAAAGGCUGGGAUUAACACACAAGACGAGAAGACCCUGUGGAACUUUAAACGAACCCGCUACCACAUCAAACCAAACCCCACAUGGGGUCCAAACACACGUACAAUAGCGAAUACUUUAAGUUGGGGCGACUGCGGAGUAAAACAAACCCUCCGUGAAACAAGGGCCUCCCGCCACUAACGGCAGACAAGCCUACAAGAUUAAUACUAUGACCCAGAUAACUGAGCAACGAACCAAGCUACCCCAGGGAUAACAGCGCCAUCCCCCUCAAGAGUCCAUAUCGACAGGGGGGCUUACGACCUCGAUGUUGGAUCAGGACCCCCAAGUGGUGCAGCCGCUACUAAUGGUCCGUUUGUUCAACGGUUAAUGUCCUACGUGAUCUGAGUUCAGACCGGA
RNAcentral lists this ribosomal RNA (589 nucleotides) under Cyrtodactylus phongnhakebangensis. RNAcentral's name for it is "partial 16S ribosomal RNA". It matches the Rfam family "Bacterial large subunit ribosomal RNA", at positions 1808 to 2620 of the family's 2925-position model. Lineage: Eukaryota; Metazoa; Chordata; Lepidosauria; Squamata; Gekkonidae. The record is from RNAcentral.